RNAcentral lists this ribosomal RNA (216 nucleotides) under uncultured bacterium. Its description in RNAcentral is "partial 16S ribosomal RNA". It matches the Rfam family "Bacterial small subunit ribosomal RNA", at positions 28 to 238 of the family's 1533-position model. The record is from RNAcentral.
GAUGAACGCUAGCGGCAGGCUUAAUACAUGCAAGUCGAGGGCAGCAUGACUGUAGCAAUACAGUUGAUGGCGACCGGCAAACGGGUGCGGAACACGUACGCAAUCUACCCAUAACUGAUGAAUAGCCCUCCGAAAGGAGGAUUAAUACAUCGUAACGUAUUGAAGUGGCAUCACUUUAUUACUAUAGCUCCGGCGGUUUUGGAUGAGCGUGCGGCU